GUCGAACGAGCUUAGAGAGCUUGCUUUUUAAGCUUAGUGGCGAACGGGUGAGUAACGCGUGAGUACCUGCCCUAGAGUGGGGGACAACAGUUGGAAACGACUGCUAAUACCGCAUAAGACCGCAUGGUAAAAGAUUUAUUCGCUUUAGGAUGGACUCGCGUCCAAUUAGCUAGUUGGUGAGGUAACGGCCCACCAAGGCACGAUUGGUAGCCGGACUGAGAGGUUGAACGGCCACAUUGGGACUGAGACACGGCCCAGACUCCUACGGGAGGCAGCAGUGGGGGAUAUUGCACAAUGGGGGAAACCCUGAUGCAGCGACGCCGCGUGGAGGAAGAAGGUUUUCGGAUUGUAAACUCCUGUCGUUAGGGACGAUAAGACGGUACCUAACAAGAAAGCACCGGCUAACUACGUGCCAGCAGCCGCGGUAAUACGUAGGUGGCAAGCGUUGUCCGGAAUUAUUGGGCGUAAAGCGCGCGCAGGCGGCUUCUAAGUCCAUCUUAAAAGUGCGGGGCUUAACCCCGUGAUGGGAUGGAAACUGGGAGGCUGGAGUAUCGGAGAGGAAAGUGGAAUUCCUAGUGUAGCGGUGAAAUGCGUAGAGAUUAGGAAGAACACCGGUGGCGAAGGCGACUUUCUGGACGACAACUGACGCUGAGGCGCGAAAGCGUGAGGAGCAAACAGGAUUAGAUACCCUGGUAGUCCACGCCGUANACGAUGAAUACUAG
This 722-nucleotide ribosomal RNA is filed under the name uncultured bacterium. RNAcentral's name for it is "bacterial SSU rRNA". It matches the Rfam family "Bacterial small subunit ribosomal RNA", at positions 61 to 819 of the family's 1533-position model. The record is from RNAcentral.